RNAcentral lists this ribosomal RNA (497 nucleotides) under uncultured bacterium. RNAcentral describes it as "partial 16S ribosomal RNA". It matches the Rfam family "Bacterial small subunit ribosomal RNA", at positions 28 to 507 of the family's 1533-position model. The record is from RNAcentral.
GAUGAACGCUGGCGGCGUGCCUAAUACAUGCAAGUCGAGCGAACGGACGAGAAGCUUGCUUUUCUGAUGUUAGCGGCGGACGGGUGAGUAACACGUGGAUAACCUACCUAUAAGACUGGGAUAACUUCGGGAAACCGGAGCUAAUACCGGAUAAUAUUUUGAACCGCAUGGUUCAAAAGUGAAAGACGGUCUUGCUGUCACUUAUAGAUGGAUCCGCGCUGCAUUAGCUAGUUGGUAAGGUAACGGCUUACCAAGGCAACGAUGCAUAGCCGACCUGAGAGGGUGAUCGGCCACACUGGAACUGAGACACGGUCCAGACUCCUACGGGAGGCAGCAGUAGGGAAUCUUCCGCAAUGGGCGAAGGCCUGACGGAGCAACGCCGCGUGAGUGAUGAAGGUCUUCGGAUCGUAAAACUCUGUUAUUAGGGAAGAACAUAUGUGUAAGUAACUGUGUACAUCUUGACGGUACCUAAUCAGAAAGCCACGGCUAACUACGUG